AGCCAUGCCGCGUGCGGGAAGACGGCCCUAUGGGUUGUAAACCGCUUUUGUUGGGGAGCAAUAAGGUCCACGUGUGGAUCGAUGAGAGUACCCAGCGAAUAAGCAUCGGCUAACUCCGUGCCAGCAGCCGCGGUAAUACGGAGGAUGCAAGCGUUAUCCGGAUUUAUUGGGUUUAAAGGGUGCGUAGGCGGAUGCCUAAGCGUGAGGUGAAAUCCCCGGGCUCAACCUGGGAACUGCCUCGCGAACUGGGUAUCUGGAAUGCCCCUGCCGUGGGAGGAAUGUGUGGUGUAGCGGUGAAAUGCAUAGAGAUCACACAGAACACCGAUUGCGAAGGCAUCUCACGAAGGGGUGAUUGACGCUGAGGCACGAAAGCGUGGGGAUCAAACAGGAUUAGAUACCCUGGUAGUCCACGCAGUAAACGAUGAUAACUAACCGCUGGGCAUUCGUGUUCAGUGGCCAAGCGAAAGCGAUAAGUUAUCCACCUGGGGAGUACGACCGCAAGGUUGAAACUCAAAGGAAUUGACGGGGGCCCGCACAAGCGGAGGAACAUGUGGUUUAAUUCGAUGAUACGCGAGGAACCUUACCCGGGCUCGAACGGCUGGUGAAGAGAUCCAGAGAUGGUGACGUCCUUCGGGACACCAGUCGAGGUGCUGCAUGGUUGUCGUCAGCUCGUGCCGUGAGGUGUCGGCUCAAGUGCCAUAACGAGCGCAACCCUUGUCGUCAGUUACCAUCAAGUGAAGUUGGGGACUCUGGCGAGACUGCCACCGCAAGGUGAGAGGAAGGGGGGGAUGACGUCAAAUCAGCACGGCCCUUACGUCCGGGGCGACACACGUGUUACAAUGGGGGUUACAGAGGGGCACUACCUGGUGACAGGAUGGGAAUCUCGAAAAGCCCUCUCAGUCCGGAUCGGAGUCUGCAACUCGACUCCGUGAAGCUGGAUUCGCUAGUAAUCGCGCAUCAGCCAUGGCGCGGUGAAUACGUUCCCGGGCCUUGUACACACCGCCCGUCAAGCCAUGAAAGUCUGGGGCGCCUGAAGUUCGUGACCGCAAGGAGCGACCUAGGGCGAAACAGGUAAUUGGGGCUAAGUCGUAACAAGGUAA
RNAcentral lists this ribosomal RNA (1100 nucleotides) under uncultured bacterium. Its description in RNAcentral is "bacterial SSU rRNA". It matches the Rfam family "Bacterial small subunit ribosomal RNA", at positions 390 to 1499 of the family's 1533-position model. The record is from RNAcentral.